Long non-coding RNA from Neomonachus schauinslandi (Hawaiian monk seal), 165 nucleotides. RefSeq lists it as uncharacterized. The transcript is spliced from 3 exons. NCBI's taxonomy places the organism in Eukaryota, Metazoa, Chordata, Mammalia, Carnivora, Phocidae. The record is from RefSeq and is a predicted model, not a curated record.
UGGGCCUCUGUGGUCAGAGAGCAUGGCCAGAUGCAACAGAUGGAAACUACAGGGAGGCCAACUGAGUCUUGAUUGAAGAAGGGGAAUCUUCUGAUAAAGGAAGACUGCUUAGGGCAACAAACACACUUUUCAACUGAGAAGGCAUCAGUACACCAGAGAAAUAUG